RNAcentral lists this long non-coding RNA (896 nucleotides) under Mytilus galloprovincialis (Mediterranean mussel). The record is from RNAcentral. Lineage: Eukaryota; Metazoa; Mollusca; Bivalvia; Mytilida; Mytilidae.
UUGUCUCAUUGGCACUCAUACCUCAUCUGCUUAUAUCUAUCAACUAUCCAACACGAAUAAGUUGAACAUUAACAAUCUAAUAACCAACAACAUAGUAACGAAACAUGAUUAUAAGGUCGGUGGCUGUACACCACACUGUUCCCCUUUGGACAUCUUACUUCAAUUGAAAAUGGAAACGUGGAACGUGGAACGUGUCAAAGAGGCAACAAUCAGACCAAACAGCAGAAAACUAUAACCCACAUAUCAGUGGGUGCUUGUAUCUGAUUUUUCAGAAGAAGAAAUACUCACUGUCUAAUCGUAUGAAGUUUACAUAUCUCAGUUGAUACGUUACACUCGUGCAUAAGCACACUAUACGAAUUUCAUAAGCAGGGGUGUGCUCCUUACAAAACAAUUGUUCCGAAAAAGUUCUGAGGGAACGACUGAAACCAGUUUAACGAUCUCAUCCAAAAUUGUUUGACCGAUAUAUAAUGGCUGUGUCUCAACUGACAAGCGAUAUUUUUCAGUCUUAGAAUUUAGAUACCAGGAUAGUUGAUUAUAAACUUUCAUUUUAUCGAUUGUGUUCUUUUUUGACAGAGUGUGGAUUCGCAUGACGGGAGAUGUGUGCAUUGCAGAAAAUAACUGUAACCAAGGAUUUGUAUAGUAGUCUUACUAUACAAAUCCUUGCUGUAACACGUUACUGACGCACCUGUUCUCGUUCCUUUUGGAGUUCGUGCGUUUCUCUCAGUUUUUGUUUGUAACCUUAAUCAGUCUUCCUAAUCCAGAUACUAGUAUAAGAGUUGAACAAAGGUAAACAAACUACUGUUGCUUAUUUUUUUUCUAAAUAGUUUACCGUUUACUGAAACUUUGCUUAUAUAUGUGAAUGUAUAAAUUCAUAUAAUCCCCCCUUAAAUGAUAAU